Molecule: ribosomal RNA, 1560 nt
Filed under: uncultured Parcubacteria group bacterium
Lineage: Bacteria
Description: bacterial SSU rRNA
Rfam family: Bacterial small subunit ribosomal RNA
Source: RNAcentral
GAUGAACGCUGGCGGCGUGGAUAAGGCAUGCAAGUCGAGUGGGUUUAGGCCCACGGCAAACGGGUUAGUAAUGCAUAGGAACUUUCCUUGAAGUCGUGAAUAAUUCGGAGAAAUCCGGAAUAAUACACGAUGUGCUCUACGGAGUAAAGAUUUAUCGCUUCAAGAGAGGCCUAUGUCCUAUCAGCUAGUUGGUAGUGUAAUGGACUACCAAGGCUUUUGACGGGUAGGGGGUGUGAGAGCACGGCCCCCAACAUUGGAACUGAGAACUGUCCAAACUCCUACGGGAGGCUGCAGUCGAGAAUAUUCCACAAUGGACGAAAGUCUGAUGGAGCGACGCCGCGUGCAGGAUGAAGGCCCUUGGGUUGUAAACUGCUUUUGUAAGGGAAAAAUUUCGAUGAUGGUACCUUACGAAUAAGAGGUUACUAACUCUGUGCCAGCAGUAGCGGUAAUACAGAGACCUCAAGCGUUAUCCGGAUUUAUUGGGCGUAAAGAGCUGGUAGGUGGUUAUAUUAGUCAGAUGUCAAAUCUCGGAGCUUAACUCUGAAACUGCAUUUGAAACGGUAUAACUAGAGGGUGUGAGAGAUCUAUGGAACUCAUGGUGUAGCAGUGAAAUGCGUUGAUAUCAUGAGGAACACCAAAGGCGAAGGCAUUAGAUUGGCACACUCCUGACACUGAGCAGCGAAAGCGUGGGUAGCGAAUGGGAUUAGAUACCCCAGUAGUCCACGCCCUAAACGAUGCAUAUUAGGCAUUGAGAGUAUCGACCCUUUCAGUGUCGUAGCUAACGCGUUAAAUAUGCCGCCUGGGAAGUACGGCCGCAAGGCUAAAACUCAAAGGAAUAGACGGGGAUCCGCACAAGUAGAGGAUCAUGUGGUUUAAUUCGAUGGUAAGCGAGAAACCUCACCAAGGUUUGAAACUAGGCUGCAAGACUUAGAAAUAAGUCCGCCUUCGAGGGUGCCUAGCAGGUGCUGCAUGGUCGUCGUCAGCUCGUGUCGUAAGAUGUUCCGUUAAGUCGGGAAACGAGCGCAACCCCUGUCGUGUGUUUUAUAUGUCACACGAUACUGCCCAGACUUUUGUGUGCGAACGCAAAAGUAAUGACCAAUAACGAAUUUCCAAUUUCCAAAUAAUUUCCAAUGAUCAAUUUUCAAAAUCUCAAACUAUUUAAUUUUUUGAUUAUUGUAUCUUGUAAUUUGUUUGUUUCUUGGUUAUUGUUUCUUGGAAUUUAUUUUGUUUGUUUCACAAACAAAAGUCUGGGAGGAAGGAGGGGAUGACGUCAGAUCAGCAUGGCCCUUUGACACCUUGGGCAACACACGUGGUACAAUGGCCGGUACAGAGGGUUGCGAAGUCGCGAGACGGAGCCAAUCCCAAAAAACCGGUCCCAGUUCGGAUAGGAGUCUGCAACUCGACUCCUUGAAGCCGGAUUUACUAGUAAUCGGGGAUCAGAACGCCCCGGUGAAUACGUUCUCGGAUCUUGUACUCACCGCCCGUCACACCAAGAGAGUCGGUAACACCCGAAGGCCCUGUUUUAUACCGGGGACAACGGUGGGAUCGAUGAUAAGGGUG